CAGUCGCCGCGGUAAUACGUAGGGUGCGAGCGUUAAUCGGGAUUACUGGGCGUAAAGGGCGUGUAGGCGGCCUGGGGCGUCCCAUGUGAAAGGCCACGGCUCAACCGUGGAGGAGCGUGGGAUACGCUCAGGCUAGAGGGUGGGAGAGGGUGGUGGAAUUCCCGGAGUAGCAGUGAAAUGCGUGGAGAUCAAGAGGAACACUCGUGGCGAAAGCGAGCUACUGGACAAUAUCUGACGCUGAGGCUCGAAGGCCAGGGUAGCGAAAGGGAUUAGAUACCCGUGUAGUCCCUGUCUCUUAUAC
This 301-nucleotide ribosomal RNA is filed under the name uncultured bacterium. RNAcentral's name for it is "partial 16S ribosomal RNA". It matches the Rfam family "Bacterial small subunit ribosomal RNA", at positions 509 to 807 of the family's 1533-position model. The record is from RNAcentral.